AUGAAGCAACUGGUCGAGCUCCACAAGGCGGCCGAACAGGCCAUGAAGGGCCUCCUAGUUCGGCUGUGGCCUGGAGAGGCUCUGCCUGGGAGCUAUUUCGGGCUGGUGUGGCGGCUGGUGGAGGCUUGUCCAAGGCUCGAAGUCAUCAAGCGCUCCGCCUGCAUUGAAGGUGCCCGUAGGGCCCUUGCCCGUGCUAAGGUGCACUGGGGCAAGCUGGAUGCUGAGAAGCUUGUGAAGGACGGGCCACCGCCGGGGAAAGAGCAUCGCAAGCCCGAGAAUUAUUAUAAGGAUGUUCUGAAGGGUGCCUGCCUUGUGGCGGAUGAAUGUUCUAGGGAUGUAAUUUUUGAGUGA
RNAcentral lists this ribosomal RNA (351 nucleotides) under Triticum aestivum (bread wheat). RNAcentral describes it as "partial small subunit ribosomal RNA". The record is from RNAcentral. Lineage: Eukaryota; Viridiplantae; Streptophyta; Magnoliopsida; Poales; Poaceae.